CAGCUGUCAAGAUGCCUUUCUUUUCAGGAAGUCUAAAGGCAAGAUGCUUUAAAGUCUUUAAGUCAGGAUUUCCUAUACGGGAAGAAGAAAAAUUGUUGAUACCACCGAGAGGCUCAACCACUUGCCUUUGGGCAUGUGCUUGGUGAACAUUCUCCACCAACCUUUACUUUGCCAGACUCCCCUUCAGUGUCAGACAGUACAAACGACCAUCAGGAACCACUGUGCAAGACUAAAGGCUGGAUGGCUCUCUAAUGGAUUUUGGCCCAAACAGAAGGAGAAGCACUUUUGAAACAAAAGUUUAGGAAAGGUCAGGGAAUGAUGGUGCUGGAAGAAAGGAGAAGAAAAAAGCUUUGGGGGCUGGAAAUCAAGCUAUUCGCAGAAAUGUCUGGCACAUAUCAAUGCAGCACUUUACAAUCAGGUGUCUUGGACAUACAACAGCAAUGAAGUUGUGUCUCCCAGUUGAAAAUGGAGGGAGUGCAGCACAAGGAAGUUACAUGGCUUGGGGGAGAGUGUGAAAGAGUGAGCCAUUGAUGGAGUAUCGUGGACAUGACGAAGGACAGUAAUGGACCCCGCAGGAUUUGGGGAGAGGAGUCAUGCAUGCACACAUGCCUCAAAACACUCCAUGUGCCGGCCUCUCCAUCAGUUCUGGGGACUCAUAAAGGUUCACAGUCCAGCUCGUGAGAAAGAUGUGGAAAUCGAGCUUCAAAGAGUCCCUGCCGGUUGAGGGACUGAUUCAUCAAGAAGGUGUUUCUUAAGACCCUGAGACUAAAAAGUGCCAUUACUAAGAUUUAAACACCUUACCAGAGAUGAACUGCUCCCUGAAUGCCCUGCGGACCUCCUGCUUGCCCAUCUCCACCCAGGUCACCUACCACUCACUGCUCUUGUGCAUAUCUGGUACCAUCUCCCCAAUCACACUGGAGCCUUCUGUUUUGAGUCACGUUACUACUACAGAGAAUGAAGGGCAGGGUGGGGGUAAAGCAGGAAGGGUGAGAUGCUUGCAUGUUUUGUUCAGGUCCUGUCAGUUAUUUUUAAAAAAUAAAACAAAGUUUUGCU
Long non-coding RNA from Manis javanica (Malayan pangolin), 1053 nucleotides. RefSeq lists it as uncharacterized. The record is from RefSeq and is a predicted model, not a curated record. Lineage: Eukaryota; Metazoa; Chordata; Mammalia; Pholidota; Manidae.